Molecule: ribosomal RNA, 301 nt
Filed under: uncultured bacterium
Lineage: Bacteria
Description: partial 16S ribosomal RNA
Rfam family: Bacterial small subunit ribosomal RNA
Source: RNAcentral
CAGUCGCCGCGGGAAUACGAAGGGUGCAAGCGUUAAUCGGAAUUACUGGGCGUAAAGCGCACGCAGGCGGUCUGACAAGUCAGAUGUGAAAUCCCCGGGCUUAACCUGGGAACUGCAUUUGAAACUGUCAGGCUGGAGUCUUGUAGAGGGGGGUAGAAUUCCAGGUGUAGCGGUGAAAUGCGUAGAGAUCUGGAGGAAUACCGGUGGCGAAGGCGGCCCCCUGGACAAAGACUGACGCUCAGGUGCGAAAGCGUGGGGAGCAAACAGGAUUAGAUACCCCUGUAGUCCCUGUCUCUUAUAC